RNAcentral lists this long non-coding RNA (1577 nucleotides) under Equus asinus (donkey). Its description in RNAcentral is "lncRNA (ENSEASG00005038068.1)". Lineage: Eukaryota; Metazoa; Chordata; Mammalia; Perissodactyla; Equidae. The record is from RNAcentral.
UUUAAAAUUGGCUGAAAGAAUUGAUUAAAAUUACCCUACGUGUUUUGCCAUGUCGUUUCGGAGCAGCCAGCUUUCUUUGGCCAACCGUGUACUUGAAUAGUUAAGAAAGCCUCUUGGUAUUUGGCGGUCAGACUGGCCGUGCCAUUUUGCACAGAAGGAAUGAAAUUUGGCUUAGAAAUUAGACUGGGGGCAAUUAAAAACUUUUAGAAAGAUUGAAAAAUAUAUCAUACAUCAGCUGGAAGUUCUGUUAUUCAGACCCCUCUUUCUUCCUACCAAGAAACAGAUCCUUCUGGAAUUCGAGCUCCAUAUGGGCAGGCACUUUGUUGGUUCUGCUCAUCACUGUAUCUCCAUCAUCAACAGCAAAGCAGUGCUUGAUACUUGUGAAAAGUCAAUAUGUGGGGCAUGGAACCUUCUAGAAGAGCAACUGAUGUUGUCUCUCCACUUCUCCAAGGUCCUAGUGAUGGACCUGCAUGAAUCCUGUAUCAUCACCAUCACUACAUUUUCUCUCCCUAAAGGCCCUCCAUGGAACAAGACAUGUCUCAAAACUUCUCUCUGAUUCUUCUGUCCCUCAAGGAAACAACGUGGACAUUUUCUGUAACAAAACUGUGUUGGGUUGAAUAGGGUCCCACAAAAAUUUAUGACUACCUGGAACCUCAGAAUAUGACCUUAUUUGAAAAUAGGGUCUUUGCAGAAAUAAUUAGUUAAGAAGAGGUCAUACUGGAUUAGGGUUGGCCCUAGAUUCAAUUACUGGUGUCUUUAGAAGAACGGGAGAAGACACAGAGACAGAGAGAAGAAGAUCAUGUGAAGAUGGAGGCAGAGAUUGGAGUGAUGCUGCCGCAAGCCAAGGAAUGCCUUGAGACACCAGAAGCUGCAAGAGGCAAGGAUGGAUUCUCCCCUAGAGCCUUCACAGGGAAUGUGGCCCUCUUCAGAUCUUGAUUUUGGACUUUUAGCCUCCAGAACUAUGAGAGAAUAAAUUACUGUUGUUGAAGCCACUUCAAUGAAUUACUGCUUGUAUUUGUAAUUAUGGAAUUCAAUAAAUUACUGUUGUUGUUAUUUGUUAUGGAAUCCCUAGAAAACAAAAGCAAAACUUUUCAAAUGCCCAAGAACUGGCAACUAGGGUCUUGACUUAAAACAAAAGGCAUCAGGAAUUCCCAAAUUAUAAAGACUGCCAUCAAAAUGCAGGCCUAUGAAGAGCCAGCUCUGCUAUCACCAGCAACCUCCCAGCACUUCUUCCCAGUCUUUACAAUAAAACUGGGGAGGGGAGAGGGAGGUUGUUGGAGUAAGAGACAGUACGUCUCACCAUGAAGACAAGUGAGAUGACCCAGGGAAAUGCUAAAAGACUGGAGGAGCCUGAAAGAAAGGGAAACUUGCCUUCCCCAGCUGAACAUUGGCUUAAGUAGUAGACUUGCUGAUUUGCCUGAGAUGGGAGAGAAGGCAGGUUGGACAGAAGGGUGGGAGUGGAGCAGCUUGCGCUCCAACCACGAGGUGAGGAUGCCUGAGUUCACUGCGGGUCAAUGGACGUUCCAAAAAGAUAGCUGAGCUUGAGCCAUCCUGCUGGUACCCACCUAAGAUUGGUG